RNAcentral lists this transfer RNA (74 nucleotides) under Deltaproteobacteria bacterium CG11_big_fil_rev_8_21_14_0_20_49_13. RNAcentral's name for it is "tRNA-Gln". It matches the Rfam family "tRNA". Rfam says of the family: Transfer RNA (tRNA) molecules are approximately 80 nucleotides in length. Their secondary structure includes four short double-helical elements and three loops (D, anti-codon, and T loops). The record is from RNAcentral. Lineage: Bacteria; Deltaproteobacteria.
UGAGGGAUCAUCCAAUGGCAGGAUGCAUGGCUCUGAACCAUGACAUCUAGGUUCGAAUCCUAGUCCCUCAGCCA